CAAUGUUUUUAUUCAUUUUCCAUUAUGCGAUUUGGUUGCAGUUUUUGAUUUAUAUUCGUUUCAGUUGCCUCAUAGAAUUAGUUUUUUUUACAGUGUUCAGAGUUGACAGAAAAAAACUUAACUUUAAACUAUGGAAUUCAACAUUAAGAAAAUACGUAUGUUUUUCACAGAUGCUGUAGUCCAGUACAUCAAUGGCAAAAAGGGAACAUUUCCUCGGUUGAAAAUCGGUGGACAUUAUUUUACGAGGAGGCGUAUCUGCAAGACCAGCACCCGGUGGUAUUGUGUCAAGGAGCCGGCCCUGAAGUGUAACGUACGUAUCACAACCGAUUCGUUCGGAACGAUAAUACGGAUAAACAAUGUUCACAAUCUCCACCAGUAGUGGUUGAUACAUUCAAAGGGCGACUGCUGACCACACCUGUGUUGUUGAAGUUGCAAGAAAUAAAUAAUACAACAACGCAGUUACCCAAACUUUUGCUCAAACAGCAUCAAAUUAGGCAAGAAAUCAUAUAACCCAAACUGUUUGCACCAUUUUAUUGCAGAAACGGAGAACUAAUCAUCUCACCAUACAAAAAUCCAGCUCACUACUUUCAAUCUAGUACUUCACUGAUUGCUUCCUAUUGGAAUACGAGGGAUAUCAUUUCUGCAAUCGAAGGACAAAGAAGCACUGCAUCCGUUGGUAUUGCACUAUAUGGCGUAGGAUGAACUGUACAGCACGGGUUACAACAAUCACUUCUAAUGGAGCAGUAUCGCAGUUUUGUGAUGAUCACAACCAUCCACCGACGGCGGAGUGUGUUAAAAUAAGCCACAAGCGCAAGCGCAAAUCUUAGUACUUCUAUCACGAUUGUUAUCUGAUUUACCAUAUGCUCGAAACAGGAUCCUUAAAUCAAAAAUUACCAGUUGAAGGUUCUUGCAUGUGAUAGGUAAUAGCUGUAUUGACGCCAUGUUUUUUUAAAUAUAAGAUCUCCAAUAACCAUAGCUAAAUGUAAAGAAAAAAUUGCUAAAUCAACUGAAGCCCCAGCAUGGGUUGUUCCAGAAGAAAGAGGAGGAUAAACCGUUCAUCCUGUUCCAGCUCCGUUAGAUCUAAAUACUACUUUACAACCUUGAUAAAAGUAGAAAUGAUGCAAAAAAAUCUUGUCUGAAAGAAAAAUAUUAAGUAUUAAAUAUUAAGUAUUAUACAAUUGCUACAAUUAAUUCUUAAUAAUUUCUUUUAUGUUCGUUGAAACCACCUCAUUCUGUAUUUUGAUUUUUGUCGUUAUAUUUCAGUACUCGAAAAUAAACAAAAAAAUAAAUUUGGCAGCUCUGAAAAUAUACUGCCAGCAAAAUGUCAUGGUUUAACAUUAGAAAAUUUGCUAGUUUUGUUCCAUAUUUCUCAACACAAAAUUUAGAUUUUUUAGGUGUCGUUAUGAAUGUAUUUAAUAACUUAAAAGUAAUUUUCAGGGCUGCCAGAAUUUUUUUUAUUUUUGUACAAAAGUGACAUGAAACAAUAUGUAACUGUCGUAUUUUAUUACUAUAUAUGAUCGUAGAUUGGUUUUAUUUAUCUAACGCUCCCAACGUAUUUUUAGACAUUUCAUUCGUCAUGAGCUGCCGCGGGAAAACUCAACUUAGCGUAAACGGUCACCUCUACACUUGUGACAAGACAACCGAUGACGCCAUGUACUGGUGUUGCAAUCAGCGCCGUGUUCUUGGCUGCACAGCUCGUGCUAAUACUGGACGUAGGAAGCAGGGAGAACCGCCAACUAUUAAACUGCGCGGCUUUCACAAUCAUGGAAUCAUUGCAGAACGCCGUCGACCCGGGGAAUAUGCCAGACUGAAGGAACAGUACGAUCGCGAACGGAAAGUGUUGCCAGAUGUAGAGCCUCGUCGCCCUGCCCUUUUCAGAACGAAAAAGAAGCAAAACUGAAUCAAUUUUCUGUACACUAUCUUGAUGUUCUAGUACUACAGUUGUGACUGUGACUAUGUUUCAAGAUGCCCAGAUAUUUCAUUCGUCAUAAGUGCACGUGGUAAAACUCAGCUGAACGUUAACGGAUAUCUCUACACGCGUGGCAAACUUCACGGCGACUUUCAGUACUGGUCAUGUAAUCAAUACAGGGUUUUAAGUUGCACAGCUCGUGCUUCGACAAUCCGCUGCAAACAGGGCGAGAAACCAACCAUAAAACUGCGUGGUUUCCACAACCAUCCGAUUAUAGUGGACCGACGUCGGCCCGGAGAGUGCGCACGGUUGAAAGAGCUGUACGCUCCUGCAGCGAGGCAAGUGUUGCCAGACAGGAGGAAAUGUCAGCAGCUCCCCAAGCAGCAGGUGCCACUGCCACCGAUCGAACAGUGUUUUGUGAAAGAAGAGAAAUAAUGAACGCGCUGUUGGGUGUGUGAAUGGAGGCUCUAAUAGGAUAAG
Molecule: long non-coding RNA, 2389 nt
Organism: Aedes albopictus (Asian tiger mosquito)
Lineage: Eukaryota; Metazoa; Arthropoda; Insecta; Diptera; Culicidae
Exons: 4
Source: RefSeq, a predicted model, not a curated record